UGAGAGUGAAAACUCCGAUUUAUUCAAAAUACACUGCUCUUUUAUACAGAGCUUUGCAAAGGUUAAAUCCAUUGGUCCUAAAGUGAAAACAAACUACAACAUUGGUUCAGAGUGCUUGACGCACAGUGACAGAACUUAACUAUAAACAGUGUGAGGUCAAGAGAGAUAAAGAAUUAUUUACAUUCUUUUCCAGCUCUUUCCCAGGCUUUUGCCUGGCUAGAAACUCUCAAUUUCUUUCUUUGACUGAAUCUGAGACCCACAUGUCUUCUCUUUUAGUUUUAAAAAAGAAGGCAGUGUUUGUCUCCUUUUUGCAAGGUCUCUUGCAGAAGAGAGGACAAACACGACUCCGAGGUUCACUAGUUGAUGAUUCAAAACCUCAUUGAAUGUUGGCUCAGAACAGUCAAAGAGAUUUUGACUUACACUAUAACUCUUUACAAACUUAACUAUUAAAUCUAAAACUCCAUCACCAACACCAAAACAUUGUUAGUCUGCUUGUAACACAGGCAGUCUAACUCGUCACCAGUUCAUGUCCAAAAAGCAAAGCAAAUCAAAUGUUCAUUUCCCCCUCGUGGAGGGGCUGGCUGACUGAUGGUUGAUGUCUUGAUCAUCAUCUGAAGAUUGUGAUGGAUGGUCAGCAGCAUGGUCACUGCUCACAGGCUAUCUGUUGACCACACUCUGUUUCUGCUGUCUCAAGUCAGGGCGAACACACUUUGCAAGUAUCCAUCGUACCCUGGUACCUGUGGAGACACAUGCAUACCCGCGGCCCCAAGUAAUGAGGUUGCACGGACCCUCCCACCUAUUGGUGACAAGGUCUCGCACCCAGACCUGCGCUCAGGGCAGAUGCGUCUCACCUGCUGAAUGCAAUGAGAGAAAAUGAUUCAAAAUGACAGGAAUCUCUGAAUUCUUUGGCACAGUUAAAUGGUUGAUUGUAUACAAAGCUUUCUCCAACCGACUGUGUGGAGUCUCUCCUGGCAUUCCCCCUUUUUGUUUCUCCAGAACACGCUUUAAAGUGCCAUGCACGCGUUCAACAAUGGCUUGAGCUGUGGGUGAAUGUGCAGUACCAAACUUGUGUGAGACUCCCCACAGGUGCAAAAACUGACAUAACUUCUGUGAGGCAUAGGCAGGGCCAUUGUCAGUCUUUACGCACGAAGGUAUCCCCAGAACUGCAAAAGCCAUCCUCCAAUGAGCAAUUGCGUCGCGACUCUUCUCCCCCGUGUGAACAGUUGCCCACAUGGCGGAGGAGAAGGUGUCGACAGACACAUGCACAUACUUAAGUCGAGCAAACUCAGCAAUGUGUGUAACAUCUGUUUGCCAGCGCUGCAAGGCCUUCAGGCCUCUGGGGUCCACCCCCGCCGGUAAAGGUGCAGCAAACCCAUGACAGUCAGCACAAGAGCUGACAAUGUCACGAGCCUCGGUUGCUGUCAAAUCAAACUGUUUUUGCAAAGUAUGUGCACUUUGGUGAAAAAAGUCAUGCAAUGCCUUGGCUUGCGCAGUUCUAUCAGGCUGAGGUGCCACCCACGCAGGGUUAGCCAACCUAUCAGCCCUGGCGUUACCUUCAGACAGUGAUAUCAAUGGAAGGGUCUACUUGGUAAACCGGACGAGUAGACAGAGCCUUUUGAACCUCCUCCAGCGCUUGCCGCGCUUCAAGAGUCAAUUUCCAAGGCGAACUCAGGUCCGGGUCCCCCUUUAAAAGUUUGAACAGCAGGGACAGCUGCGCCGUGGUCAGCCCCAGAUAGGGACGUAACCAAUUGAGGACCCCAAGCAAUCUCUGGGCAUCAUUCAGCGUUGCAAUAGUCUCUGGAAAUUGCACCUCCUGAUGCUGAAUGGUUUGCUCCAGAAUCUUGACCCCCAAAUACUUCCAAGGAGGUCGGCUCUGGUCACCAACCACCGCAAAGGCAGUGUAGGGUAAUCUGCGCCCUUCAACACAGUGACCCCCAUCAAAAAUCCGUCCCGAUGCGCACACCCCAGGCUGCCGGCACAUCCCGCCCCCAAAGAGUGACCGGAGCUGCAGUAACAUAGGGCCGAACCUUUGCUGUCUGCCCUUCCAUGUUUUUGCUCAACACAGCCUGCCGGCACAUAAAUGUCUGUACUGCAACUCCCAAGCCUUCAAUGGCCACUCCCACGGAGUCCAAAGGCCACUUAGGAGGCCACACAGAGGCGGAGACGACUGUCACGUCAGCCCCGGUGUCGAUCAAACCUUGCAGAUGAAUCCGAGACGGGCUGGCACCUGGCAAAACCACGGAGCACACCAUUUGUGGACGGUUGGCAGAAAUGAGCGAGGACCAGAGGACUUGCGUAGGUCCUGUGGAUUCGAAACCACCAUCUCCACGCAUCUGCUGAUCUGCUCUGGGAACACACGACUGGAAAGGCACAAGUUGAGCAAUGCGGGUUCCUGCCGGAAUAAUGACAAGAGGGGAGGGUGUGGAAACCAUAGCACAAAUCUGGCCCAUAAAAUCAGAAUCCACGACACCCGGGUGCACAAAGACCCCCAAAAGGCUAGUGUUAGACCGCCCCAUCAACAAUGCACCCAAUCCAUGACCUAAAGGCCCGAAUGCAUUCAGAGGAACCCUGUGCACCUCAGUAGAAUCUAAGAUGACUGCUGCUAUGGUGUGUACAUCCACCCCGGCAGAGCCGUGGAUGCCUGUGUCGAGUUGACAGGGGCACCCUGCACCGGUGCUGUGUUCUGGGGGAUCACUUGUGUCAGCGCGCAGUUCCACUGUGCGCUUCUGCCCCUGUUUCCCGAGCCUGUCAAUCGCUUACCAUAAGCAUGGUAAGUCGACCUGCAUUCCUUCGCAAAAUGACCUGGCCUACCACACCCGGAGCACAGAAAAUUAGAGUCUGACCCCUUCUUGCCUUUUGCCCCCUGUACCUGCUUGCCCUUCUUCUUCUUCUCCAUCUUGUGCCGACCAGUCAAUGAGGACGACAGGCCUGCCUGCAAAGAUGCUGCCAGAACAGACAUUUUAUGGUCCACUGUACCAACCUUGGAACAAGCCUCGACCAUGUCUGUCAAGGACGGAUCGCCUGGCAAUGCGUCUAUAAUUUUCCUACAAUCCUCAUUUGCAUUGUCUCUUGCCAAAGUUUUGCACAAAACCUGCCUCAAAGUCUCAUCCUCAAUCUGCUUCUCCAACUGCAGCUGCGAGCCUCUCAACAAAUGGCAGGAACAACUCUUUGGCCCCCUGUGCUAUCUUUACAUAUCAUUGCCUGGGAGCAGCUGUCUCCAUGGCCUUGAGCAAUGCCACAAAGCCUAUCUUCUGGGCCUGCUCAAGUACGAUGUGGUGCCAAGUGGCCUGAAAAUCAGGAUUGGAAAAGCUAUUGAGUCCCAUGAGUGCAUCCACCCCCAGACAGCACCUAGGGUCUGUUUGAGGAUAAUGUUGAUUCUCAGCUGCAACCCUGUCGGCCAUCCUCCUCCAGUUGCUCAUAAAAAGAUCCAUCUGCACAGGUUGGAACAACACAGAGGCCAGAUGUUUGAUAUCAUAGGGAGCCAGCAGGUCAGUGUUUAUCACUCUGAGGACCUGCAUCAAUGGGGCAGAACCCAACCUAUAUUUUGCCACCUUGUCCUGCAAAUCCUGUACAACCUUCCAAGCUGUAACUUCAUGCUUGUCCUGCUGUCCCAAAUUUGGGACAGCCUUGUGUACAGGAAAGACUUGCAGCUUACGCUGCACUGAAGCAUCGUCACCCCCACCCCCUUUUGCUCCCCCUGAGAGGGACAGAGGAACCAACUGGCAGCUAGGCACGGUCUCAUCCUCCUUGAGAGGUGGGUUCAGAACCGCACCACCAGGCUUUCCCACCCGCUCUAACAAAUCCCAAUCACACGCUUCCAAAGCGCUUUGCCUGACCGCAUCCCAAAAGCGACAGGGAUUUAUCGGUCGCACAGACACCUGACAGGGAGGCAGCGUCCACAGAUCUCUCUGGGACGCUCACCGCCCUCGUCCGUGUCGGCGUUCCGACAGGCGGUCAGGCCCCCGUGACGGAAUCGAGAUCAAAUCAUCGCUGUCACUACCUGCCUCCUGUGACAGGGGCGUGUGGGACAGUCCGCGAUCCACGAGGGAGGGUGGGCUGACAGGAGACACCGAGGCUGGGCAGGCGGCUAUCGACUGCGAAGCCGAAGCACUGGGCUGGGCCCCCGAGCCAACAGCUCCCGAACCAGGUGGGCCAGCCGCUGGUGACGGGGCGGGGACUGGAACCAUCACCGGCCGCUCGGCGAAUCCCUCCGUCGCAGACGGCAAGACGAAAGGGUCAGCAGGAGCUUGCAACACCGUGGAUGUGUCAUCGAUGACAGGAACGGCACUGGCUGCUGGGGCGCAGCAGGCAUCACGGGCACUGAAGCACCAGCGGGCGAGGGAGGCAGAGGUGCUGCUGCUGAGACAGCGGGGGGAGGGGGGGGGGCGGGAGCCAGAGGCGCUGCUCAAGCCGCCGGAGCGGCGGGCACGGCGAAAGGCAGAACCGUUCCAGCCGCGGAUGCGGCGGGCAGGGCGCCGGUCCCCAUCGCUGGGAGCGCCGGCGCCACAGCAGGCGUGGUGUGGAGAGCAGGUACCGCCCCCAGUGCCGGCGUCAGUCCCGGGGCCGGGAGGGCCGAAAACGACACCGAAGUGCCCCCCGCAAGAUGGUGUUGAACCAUUGACGCUGGCACCGUGAAAGAAAUCUAAUCAGUCCCAGCACACGUCGCGCAGCGGGACGUUCCGGGAAGCAGCUGCGCUGCUCCCACUGGCAGAACCUGAACCCCCACGGGAAGCGAGGGUUGCGCCAGCGAGUGGGCGAAAGGCUGCAUCCCUGCCCCCAGAGGCAGCUGAGAGCGAGGCCCACACAUCUGCGCAGGCUCCAUAGCUGAUAACAAAGGAGCCGGGGGGCCACUGCCCCCGCAGCGCCCGGCGCCGCGGGCUGCACCGCCCCUCCCGCCAGCCGCAGAGCGGAGCCCCACCAAGGGCUGAACCAGCGGAGCCGUCUGGUCAACUGACGGACCGAGUCCGGGCUGUUGUGGCGUAGACGAGACAGCCCCCAACAGGCCGUGCAAAGGGGGGUGCGCCGAGCCCGAGGGCUGCGACGAUGGCACCCCCAGCGCCACCUUGAAAAGCAGGUGCUGGCACUGGCACCGUGCCAAAAGCAGAUUGCGCUUGUUCAGCCGGCCGGGGUACAGUCUGCUGUGUAAUCUGUGGCUGAUUGGCCGGCAAAAAUUUCCCAGGCUGAGCAUAGCCAUGGGGUUAGGCAGCGCUGGGACCAGCAGGAAUCCCCGGCGACACGGGAGGCUUGCGGGGCGUUCCACCAUGACCCGACACCCCGCUCCGCGCCGGGGAAGGGAUCGGGCGUCGCUCGGCCCGUCCGCGUGUCCCUUCUCCCCGAGAGACCACUAGAUACAGAAGCGGCGUCGUCACUCCCGGAGAGAACCCCCUCGGAGUCCGAGCUCCCCGGGGCCCCCUCCCGCAGGGGCACAUACACACGCCCCCAGACUGAAAACAGUGCGGACGCCUCCGCGUCUCCCUGGUGCAUCUGCUGCAUGAGACACCGCCCCAUAUCGCGCCAGAGCUUUCGAUCAAAGGCCCGCCUAAUGUCCACGGAGAAUCUCUGAUCUCGAGCCCAGAUUAAGAGCCGUAUCAGUUCCUCCUCAGAGACCCGAGCCCUCAUCUGCGGGAUAGAGGCUUGCCAGGCGUACAAAACCGUCCGAUCAGCUGCAGAUGCCUGAUUCCCCAUCGCUAUGAAAUCUCCCGUCAGCGAAAGUCCACUUUUAGAGACAAAACAGUCCGCUCCUCCAGGGAGACCCCGUCCCGCAGUCCCAGCUCUUAGAAGCCGAACCACAGCCUUCUACAGAAGGCGCGGACUUCCAGCGUUACCUUUCUUAAGAAGGCAAAGGUGUCCGUCCACAGCCACAGGCUGGUGGCGCAGUGCCGCGCCGCCGAGACCCCCCCGCAAGACGCGAGGUGCAGGUCGCCAGCCCAGGCGAGGUCGUCAGACCCCGUACCCCAGAGUGAGGCGUGAGUCCACGUCGGCGGUCACCAGAUGUCGCUGUCGAGGCAGGACGGGAAUGAGAAGACUGAUUCAGAAGGCUG
This is a long non-coding RNA of Taeniopygia guttata (zebra finch), 6041 nucleotides long. The record is from Ensembl. NCBI's taxonomy places the organism in Eukaryota, Metazoa, Chordata, Aves, Passeriformes, Estrildidae.